RNAcentral lists this long non-coding RNA (2102 nucleotides) under Homo sapiens (human). Its description in RNAcentral is "HSALNT0020637". The record is from RNAcentral. Lineage: Eukaryota; Metazoa; Chordata; Mammalia; Primates; Hominidae.
CUGAAGAUGGCGGCCAGCAGCCAGGGAGCAGCGAUGAGCAGGUGCAUCCCCGGGGGAUGGUGAGAGGCAGUCACUCCUCCCACCUACGCGGGGGCACUUCGGCUGGCGGCUGUUGGCGCGCCCUCUGCCAGCCGGCUAGCCGGUGCAGGAUCCACAAUCUUCAAGGGUGGCCAGGUGCUUCCAAGAUCCUAAACGCAGUUAACCACUCGGCGAGGUAGAAAACAGGCCCAGAGAAGUUCAAGAACUUGCUGUAGAAGAUUACUGAACGAGUAAGCAGCAGAGGCCGGUCUAGAACCAGCCCCGUGUGCCCUUCUGACAGCGCAGCAGCAGCACUUAACACCUAACCGGCUUGGCUAAAUUCUAUGUGAGAGGCACUGGUGCUGACGGUAAAAAUAAAAACAAAACACCAUCCAGUCCAGAGGCAGCUUACAGCUCAAUAGAGAAGGAUGAAUUCAAAAUUCUUCUGGCAUUAUUACUUGCCAAAGAAGAGUGGGGACAUGUGUCCCUCUUCUGCCAUACUGUGACCUGGACAGAAGAAAGUGAAUAACGACAUUUUUCUCCCUGAAGCCUUCGGGAGCUUGGCCUGCAGAAGCCUCUUCUUGGUUAGGACUCAGAACCCUCUCAGAACAUUGUGACCUGCCAGAGCUGGCAUUGCACAGAGACCUUCCUGGGCAACCCUUGAUUCACCGUCCCAUAAAUGUCCAGAUGGAGGAAGUGGUCUGGGGAAGAUGGACCAUUACGAAGAUUAAUGCACCUUUUAUAGCUAGGAGCAGCCCUUGAUGUUGCCAUUGCCUUCUGUUAGGUUGGUUUAACACUGAGUUUGAUGGCCAGUAAACAGGUAAAAGGAAUUGUAUGAAGGACAGGAGGGUUAACCUGGCCAGUUUUGACUUCAGGGACUCCCAGAAAGUCUCCAUUUGGCUCUUCUAAUCAUAAAAUAACCUGUAUAGUCACAAAAUGUUGCAGUUGAAAGAGACUCAUCUUUUGGUUCUGGCCAAGAGGCUGAGGACUAUGGAAAGGACCUCAAAGAUCAUCAAGUCCCAUUCUUUCAUUUUCCAGAAGAAAGUCCAAACUGAAAGCCAAAGAGACAGGUGGAGUUCUUUUUUUUUUUUUUUUAAGACAGAGUUUCGCUCUUGUCUCCCAGGCUGGAGUGCAAUGGUAGGAUCUUGGCUCACCGCAACCUCCACCUCCCGGGUUCAAGCGAUUCUUCUGCCUCAGCCUCCCGAGUAGCUGGGAUUACAGGCAUGCGCCACCACACCCAGCUAAUUUUUGUAUUUUUAGUAGAGACUGGGUUUCUCCGUGUUGGUCAGGCUGGUCUCGAAUUCCCGACCUUAGUUGAUCUGCCUGCCUCGGCCUCCCAAAGUGCUGGGAUUACAAGCUUGAGACACCACGCCCAGCCUACAAAUGGCAUUCUUAACAUGGCACAGAGCUGGUCUAGACUGGAGCAGGGGAGGGCCGGGACCUAAGUCUCUUUUUUCCCCUUCUGUGCACCGCUCCCUGAGGGCAGCAGUUCCUCAUCCUGGUUGCACAUUCAAAUCUCCAGGACAAAUUGUAAAAUGCCUAAGCCUCACCCACAGUGAUUCUGAUUCGCUGCCUUAGGGCAAAACAUUCAGCCCUGGAGCCAAUAAAGCCAACUAAACUUCUACGAUGGGCUGUGUAAUAAUUUGUAUAGUAUAUGAUUUGUGCUUUUAUAGGGGCUUUUAGAGAGUAGAUCAGAGAAAUGACUCGAAUAGUGGUAAGAAUUUCAGUCGCCCCAUCGGAUCAGGGGCAUAUGUGUGUACAGUGGUUUUGGGAGGCUCUCAGGCCUGUGAGGGGAUCUAGUGCCUAGGCAUCCUGGCAGCCGGAAACACAGAGGAACUCUAUAAAGGGCUUUCCCUCUCUAGUGCCUAGGCAUCCUGGAAUCUAGAGAGGGGUAGCUCUUUAUAGAAUAGGAACACUCUCCCUGGAAGCCCCUCGGCAGACCUCAGCUCCAAGGGGGAAGAGGCAGAGUUAGUACGAGAUAGUUUCAUUGGCAAUGGGGCUGGAGUCUCCAGGGGUACGUACUUAGCUCUCUGACAUGACUUCUUAGAAGAGGAGGCAAUCUUACUAUGCUCAAAUAACACCAC